CUCAAACCACACAAGUAGCACUGUCACAUCCCAGAAUCGCCACCACCACUGAUGUUGAUGAUGCUGAUUGAAAUCAUCACAACCAUCUUUCAAAAUGUUGUGCUGAUUACUUGUUCAGGAAUUCAAUUAAUGGGCCAUUGAAGCGUGAGAAUGAUACACAACUUGAGCUUUUGGUACUGCCACAUCAUAUUUCACCUAAAUUUCUUUUUUGCUGCUUAUUAGUUUGUUAACCAUCUCAUUUGUAAAUAUUGUUUAUGAUGAUGUAUCUAUCAACAUAUUUAGA
Molecule: long non-coding RNA, 283 nt
Organism: Erigeron canadensis
Lineage: Eukaryota; Viridiplantae; Streptophyta; Magnoliopsida; Asterales; Asteraceae
Exons: 3
Source: RefSeq, a predicted model, not a curated record